UACGUAGGGGGCGAGCGUUGUCCGGAAUCAUUGGGCGUAAAGCGCGUGUAGGCGGUCCGGUAAGUCCGCUGUGAAAGUCCAGGGCUCAACCCUGGGAUGCCGGUGGAUACUGUCGGGCUAGAGUACGGAAGAGGCGAGUGGAAUUCCCGGUGUAGCGGUGAAAUGCGCAGAUAUCGGGAGGAACACCAAUUGCGAAGGCAGCUCGCUGGGACGUUACUGACGCUGAGACGCGAAAGCAAGGGGAUCAAACAGG
This 253-nucleotide ribosomal RNA is filed under the name uncultured bacterium. RNAcentral describes it as "partial 16S ribosomal RNA". It matches the Rfam family "Bacterial small subunit ribosomal RNA", at positions 524 to 776 of the family's 1533-position model. The record is from RNAcentral.